This 106-nucleotide small nuclear RNA is filed under the name Dasypus novemcinctus (nine-banded armadillo). The record is from RNAcentral. Lineage: Eukaryota; Metazoa; Chordata; Mammalia; Cingulata; Dasypodidae.
GUGCUCGCUUUGCAGUACAAACACUAAAACUGGAACAAUAAAGAGAAGAUUAGCAUGGCUCCUGCACAAGAAUGACAGGCAAAUUUAUGAAGCAUUCCUUAUUUUU